UGGGGAAUAUUGCACAAUGGGCGAAAGCCUGAUGCAGCAACGCCGCGUGAGUGAUGAAGGUCUUCGGAUUGUAAAGCUCUGUCUUUUGGGACGAUAAUGACGGUACCAAAGGAGGAAGCCACGGCUAACUACGUGCCAGCAGCCGCGGUAAUACGUAGGUGGCGAGCGUUGUCCGGAUUUACUGGGCGUAAAGGGUGCGUAGGCGGAUGUUUAAGUGAGAUGUGAAAUACCCGGGCUUAACUUGGGUGCUGCAUUUCAAACUGGAUAUCUAGAGUGCAGGAGAGGAGAAUGGAAUUCCUAGUGUAGCGGUGAAAUGCGUAGAGAUUAGGAAGAACACCAGUGGCGAAGGCGAUUCUCUGGACUGUAACUGACGCUGAGGCACGAAAGCGUGGGUAGCAAACAGGAUUAGAUACCCUGGUAGUCCACGCCGUAAACGAUGAGUACUAGGUGUAGGAGGUAUCGACCCCUUCUGUGCCGCAGUAACACAUUAAGUACUCCGC
RNAcentral lists this ribosomal RNA (500 nucleotides) under uncultured bacterium. Its description in RNAcentral is "partial 16S ribosomal RNA". It matches the Rfam family "Bacterial small subunit ribosomal RNA", at positions 355 to 872 of the family's 1533-position model. The record is from RNAcentral.